UGUCUUUUUGAAAAUAAUAUAAAGUCUAAUCUGCCCACUGAUUAAAUAAUUAAAGGGCUGCAGUAUAUUGACUGUACAAAGGUAGCAUAAUCAUUAGUCAUUUAAUUGGUGACUUGUAUGAAGGAUUUGAUGAAAUAUAAACUGUCUCUUAUUUAAUUAUAAAAUUUAAUUUUUUUAUUAAAAAGUUAAAAUAUUUUAAAAAGACGAGAAGACCCUAUAGAGUUUAAUAAAUUAUUAGAUUGAGAUUAUAUGUAAAACAAAUUUAAAAUAAAAUUAUUUAUUUUGUUGGGGUGACAAAAAAAUACAUUAAACUUUUUUUUAUUUAAAAACAUUUAUAAGUGAAUAAGUGAUCCAAUAAUAUUGAUUAUGAGAAAAAAUUACCUUAGGGAUAACAGCGUAAUUUUUUUUUUUAGUUCAAAUAAGAAAAAGAGUUUGCGACCUCGAUGUUGGAUUAAGAUAAAAUUUAAAUGUAGAAG
This 476-nucleotide ribosomal RNA is filed under the name Acrapex kifanya. RNAcentral's name for it is "partial 16S large subunit ribosomal RNA". The record is from RNAcentral. Lineage: Eukaryota; Metazoa; Arthropoda; Insecta; Lepidoptera; Noctuidae.